Molecule: ribosomal RNA, 468 nt
Filed under: uncultured bacterium
Lineage: Bacteria
Description: partial 16S ribosomal RNA
Rfam family: Bacterial small subunit ribosomal RNA
Source: RNAcentral
GACGAACGCUGGCGGCGUGCUUAACACAUGCAAGUCGAACGGAAAGGCCCUGCUUUUGUGGGGUGCUCGAGUGGCGAACGGGUGAGUAACACGUGAGUAACCUGCCCUUGACUUUGGGAUAACUUCAGGAAACUGGGGCUAAUACCGGAUAGGAGCUCCUGCUGCAUGGUGGGGGUUGGAAAGUUUCGGCGGUUGGGGAUGGACUCGCGGCUUAUCAGCUUGUUGGUGGGGUAGUGGCUUACCAAGGCUUUGACGGGUAGCCGGCCUGGGAGGGUGACCGGCCACAUUGGGACUGAGAUACGGCCCAGACUCCUACGGGAGGCAGCAGUGGGGAAUAUUGCACAAUGGGCGGAAGCCUGGUGCAGCAACGCCGCGUGCGGGAUGACGGCCUUCGGGUUGUAAACCGCUUUCGCCUGUGACGAAGCGUGAGUGACGGUAAUGGGUAAAGAAGCACCGGCUAACUACGUG